Long non-coding RNA from Passer domesticus (house sparrow), 2094 nucleotides. RefSeq lists it as uncharacterized. Lineage: Eukaryota; Metazoa; Chordata; Aves; Passeriformes; Passeridae. The transcript has 3 exons. The record is from RefSeq and is a predicted model, not a curated record.
GUCCAUGAGGGCACAGGGCUGUGAGGAAAGGCUGAGGGGGAAAAGCAAAGCAGGAGGAAGGAGCAGAGAGCGGAGGCAGGGAAAUGGGGUCACUCCACGCAGAGCUCCUUGUGGCAAUGUGGAAGCUGCUCCCAGUGGCCACCGUGCUGGAUGCCCUGCAUGGAAUAGGGCUCCUCAAAACAUGCAGGGCCACAGUGCUGGGGUACGCCCUGCCUGGUCUGCUGCCUCACGGAGCCAGCAGGGCUGGGACAGCCUUGGACUCAAACAGAAGGCUCGGCAGGAGUCACCGAGGCAGCUAAUAGUGCAGGGCCUUUGUCACCGUAUUUGGUGCUCACUCGGAAGUUUGCCCUGGCGCAGGGAAUGUCGCCGCUCCGCUGUGGCCAAGAGGAGCUCCUGGGCUCCCUGAAUCCAGGCAGCACAGGCACGGAGCUGCCGCCCCUCCCGGCGGGGCUGGAGCGGCCUCCAGAGUCACGGCUCUGAAUCCAUUCAGGAAUUUCUAAUGCGGCAGAUGGCUCUUUCAUGGUCACGUUUCUGCGUGCACAGGCCGUUUUGUUCUGCUGGGGCUCCUUUCCAGAGGGAGACAGGGGUUUGUGCUAAAUUGAAACUGCAUCUCCCAGAAAUCAUCGCUGUUUGAAGGCCUGAUACAGAGGAGAUGACCGCACUGACUCUUCACAUUUACAUGAGGCUGAAGCAGGAACGAGGCAGCAAAGAUGAUGGCUGCCCCAAGGCAAGGUUUGUGAAGAAAAAUAAUGUCUUUUAUUACACCAAUUCCACUGAAAGAUAUUACUGCUGUCCAUCACCCUUGCCCUUUUUACUUCUUUACAGCAACAACAGAGCUAAGUACGUUUACACCGUUUCCACUCUUUGCAUUCAGUUUCUGACUGGUAAUUUCAUUCUGUCUUAAAGCAGUUCUGUGUAAAGUUUCUCAUUUAGCCUUUUUGGGCUCCGGUGUGUGCAGAAGUGCCAGGCCCUGAGACCAGCUCACAUGGGAACAGCCCACAGUGGUGCUGAGAGACAAAUCCCUUUGUCAGUGGCUCUCACUGUAGGUUAACCAGGUGUGUCUUUUGCUGCUUUUUAAUUUAUGUUUUAGUUUCUCUUCUUGCGAUCUGCAGCCUGUGCUCCGUCUCGGCUGGUGGGGCACAGCAGGACGCGUGUUAUAAAUGAGAACCUUGACAAGGCCAAUAUUCAGGCAGCAAUCAAUUUAUUAAUUACUGUGGUAAAGUAUGAGCAAUACAGUGCUGGGUACAGUGGGGGAAGUUUUCCCUCCAACUGCAUGCCGAUAGUUGGGGCUUACAGGUAUUUAUAGGGGUGCUCAUAAGCUUUCUCAGCAGUUUCUAUUCCAAAUUUUUACAUCACAAUUCUAUACACUAUACCCUGAUAGUUGAGGCUUACAGGUAUUUAUAGGGCUACUCAUAAGCUUUCUCAGCAGUUCCUAUUCCCAAUUUUUACGUCACAAUUCUCUACACUAUUGUGAUUUAGUUUUUCUCAGGAUGUAUCUCAGAAAGGAGUAUCCCCGUAUGGUGGGGUCCAGCUUCCGAAAGAAUUCUCCCAGCUGGUGAGGCUCAGAGUCCAGAUGGGUUCACCUUUUAAUUGCAAGGACUAUCAAUCUCAUACCAGUGAUGUCCAGCUUCCCUUGGUCAAAACUAUCAAUCCUGGAGUUGAUGUUCAUCUUCCUUUCUCAAGCUGCUUUUCACUGCUUUGUUAAGGCAUCAAGAUAAGCAUCUUUCCUUUUUAUAUAUUCUAAAGCUAUAGUUUCAAAGAUCCUUACUACAAGCAAUAUUCCAAAAUUAUACUUCAAAAGGUUAUUGCAGAAGUCUUUAAGGCUUAUCUACAAGCAGAAAGUUCCUGUCAAACAGCAACAUCCUUAAAGCUUUAAUUCAAAUGCUCCUAAAUCAGCUGAAGACUUAUAAAGGUUAAUUGCGAACAAAGGACGGGUUCCAAGGCCUUCUUCCAUGCUUUACCUCCUCAGUUAUUUAUUAGAAUUGUCUUUAUAGCUGUCCCGUGUCGGUUUCCACACCUCCCACAGUCACAGAUCACACGCUGCCUGUGACACCGAGCGCAGUUUUGUGUUCCGCAGCCCAUCCUUGCCGUCCC